RNAcentral lists this transfer RNA (57 nucleotides) under Biomphalaria glabrata. It matches the Rfam family "tRNA", at positions 8 to 63 of the family's 71-position model. From Rfam's summary of the family: Transfer RNA (tRNA) molecules are approximately 80 nucleotides in length. Lineage: Eukaryota; Metazoa; Mollusca; Gastropoda; Planorbidae. The record is from Rfam by way of RNAcentral.
UGGCUGAGUAGUAAAGCGCUUGGCUUCCGAACAAGGGGUCCCUGGCUCGAAUCCUGG